AUUGAACGCUGGCGGCAUGCCUUACACAUGCAAGUCGAACGGCAGCACGGGAGCUUGCUCCUGGUGGCGAGUGGCGAACGGGUGAGUAAUACAUCGGAACGUACCCUGGAAGUGGGGGGAUAACGUAGCGAAAGUUACGCUAAUACCGCAUAUUCUGUGAGCAGGAAAGAGGGGGAUCGCAAGACCUCUUGCUUUAGGAGCGGCCGAUGUCGGAUUAGCUAGUUGGUGAGGUAAAGGCUCACCAAGGCGACGAUCCGUAGCGGGUCUGAGAGGAUGAUCCGCCACACUGGGACUGAGACACGGCCCAGACUCCUACGGGAGGCAGCAGUGGGGGAAUUUUUGGACGAAUGGGCGCAAGCCUGAUCCAGCCAUUCCGCGUGCAGGAUGAAGGCCUUCGGGUUGGUAAACUGCUUUUGUACGGUACGAAACGGUUACGUCUCUAA
This 443-nucleotide ribosomal RNA is filed under the name uncultured bacterium. RNAcentral's name for it is "bacterial SSU rRNA". It matches the Rfam family "Bacterial small subunit ribosomal RNA", at positions 30 to 465 of the family's 1533-position model. The record is from RNAcentral.